Molecule: long non-coding RNA, 771 nt
Organism: Aegilops tauschii subsp. strangulata
Lineage: Eukaryota; Viridiplantae; Streptophyta; Magnoliopsida; Poales; Poaceae
Source: RefSeq, a predicted model, not a curated record
AAAUUCUAACCUUUAUCCUCAUCUCUUGCCUCGACCCCCUGUUCCGCCGCCGCCCGACCUGAGCGCUGGCCGCAUCGCCGCCACAGAGAGGCCGUGCCGCCGCCGCUCGAGUCCACACGAAGCGUCGCAUCCGCUCGAUUCCAUACCUCCACGGCUCCACCGGCCGCUCUAGUCCACAGCCCACGCCGCCUCCUAUCGGCGCUCGAAUCCACUCGUCGACCGGCCGCAGGAGCUGCCGCCCGAUUCCACAGAAGGAAGACAGGGAGACGGCGGGAGCGCAGGACAUCGCCUCCGCCCGACCAUUACCUUUAACGCUGCUUCUCCACAAUCUGGCGGCGGGGGUCGCUGCUUCUCUACGUCGUCAGACUACGCCAGCUAAGAGCUCAUGCUGAUGAGAUCAAUAAUGGACGCAAUUUAAACCCUGAUGUUGUCGAGAGGAUUCAAAAUGAUAAGUUCCAUGAAUGGUUCCAAGCUCAUGUUCAGACUGCAUGCUACAUGGAGGCAUGGAGGGGGUGGUCGGCUGUGUGCUUUGUGUUGGUACAAAACAGCCUACUAUUUUUUGCUUGCUGGCUUUCGGCUGACUACUUGACCAACUUGCUUGAUGAUAUACUGCUGUGUGAGACCAUGUGUUGGCCAAAACUUAGUAUACUCUUAUAUUCAUGCUUGGUAAUUCGGUCAGCUGCGACACCACGUGCUUGUUUGGAACAUCAUUUUGUACUUUGGUCAACAACAGUUCAGAAUUGAGAUACACGCAUCUUGUUUGGAACUUUA